This 254-nucleotide ribosomal RNA is filed under the name uncultured prokaryote. RNAcentral's name for it is "partial 16S ribosomal RNA". It matches the Rfam family "Bacterial small subunit ribosomal RNA", at positions 524 to 777 of the family's 1533-position model. The record is from RNAcentral.
UACGGAGGAUGCAAGCGUUAUCCGGAUUUAUUGGGUUUAAAGGGUGCGCAGGUUGUUUGAUAAGUCAGUGGUGAAAGUCUGUCGCUUAACGGUAGGAUUGCCAUUGAUACGGUUGGACUUGAAUAUGGAUGAGGUAGGCGGAAUGUGUAGUGUAGCGGUGAAAUGCAUAGAUAUUACACAGAACACCGAUUGCGAAGGCAGCUUACUAAUCCAUCAUUGACGCUGAGGCACGAAAGCGUGGGGAUCAAACAGGA